This 466-nucleotide ribosomal RNA is filed under the name uncultured bacterium. Its description in RNAcentral is "bacterial SSU rRNA". It matches the Rfam family "Bacterial small subunit ribosomal RNA", at positions 917 to 1382 of the family's 1533-position model. The record is from RNAcentral.
GGACCCGCACAAGCGGUGGAGCAUGUGGUUUAAUUCGAAGCAACGCGAAGAACCUUACCAAAUCUUGACAUCCCUCUGACGGGUCCGUAACGGGACCGUUCCUUCGGGACAGAGGAGACAGGUGGUGCAUGGUUGUCGUCAGCUCGUGUCGUGAGAUGUUGGGUUAAGUCCCGCAACGAGCGCAACCCUUAUCCCCAGUAGCCAGCAGGUAAAGCUGGGCACUCUGAGGAGACUGCCAGGGAGAACCUGGAGGAAGGCGGGGAUGACGUCAAAUCAUCAUGCCCCUUAUGAUUUGGGCUACACACGUGCUACAAUGGCGUGAACAGAGGGAAGCAGAGCCGCGAGGCCGAGCGAAUCUCAAAAAACGCGUCCCAGUUCGGACUGUAGUCUGCAACCCGACUACACGAAGCUGGAAUCGCUAGUAAUCGCAGAUCAGAAUGCUGCGGUGAAUACGUUCCCGGGUCUU